UUUAAUAUAGUCAUCUUUAAGGCAAUUAGGUCUUUGUGGGUUCAUAUUUGGGCCAAGGACAUGUAUGAUGUGAGAUACCCCUUCCCUGAUAUACAAGGGAGAAUUUGAAGGAAGGGGAACAACAACAGCAUGUCCAGGGAGAAGAGAAGCUGCUCGUUCCUUAGUUGCAACCUCUAGGGCAGGACCUGCAGCACUGAAAAUUGCAGCAUUCACACCUCCACCUCCUGGUUUCAGUCGCCAAUUGGCAGCAUUAG
This 254-nucleotide unclassified non-coding RNA is filed under the name Hevea brasiliensis (rubber tree). Lineage: Eukaryota; Viridiplantae; Streptophyta; Magnoliopsida; Malpighiales; Euphorbiaceae. The record is from RNAcentral.